RNAcentral lists this ribosomal RNA (301 nucleotides) under uncultured bacterium. RNAcentral's name for it is "partial 16S ribosomal RNA". It matches the Rfam family "Bacterial small subunit ribosomal RNA", at positions 509 to 808 of the family's 1533-position model. The record is from RNAcentral.
CAGUAGCCGCGGUAAUACGUAGGUCCCGAGCGUUGUCCGGAUUUAUUGGGCGUAAAGCGAGCGCAGGCGGUUAGAUAAGUCUGAAGUUAAAGGCUGUGGCUUAACCAUAGUACGCUUUGGAAACUGUUUAACUUGAGUGCAAGAGGGGAGAGUGGAAUUCCUUGUGUAGCGGUGAAAUGCGUAGAUAUAUGGAGGAACACCGGUGGCGAAAGCGGCUCUCUGGCUUGUAACUGACGCUGAGGCUCGAAAGCGUGGGGCGCAAACAGGAUUAGAUACCCCGGUAGUCCCUGUCUCUUAUACA